Molecule: long non-coding RNA, 932 nt
Organism: Alligator mississippiensis (American alligator)
Lineage: Eukaryota; Metazoa; Chordata; Crocodylia; Alligatoridae
Exons: 3
Source: RefSeq, a predicted model, not a curated record
ACUAGGGUGUAACAGGGCACUCCAGAACUUACCUGUUCUACCUGCAGGGAGUUUACCUGUGUGGGUUGAUUUUCAGGCUGGACUCCAGAACUUGGCAGGUGGGGGUUGGGGCAAGGAGGCUGAGCCGGAGUCAUUGAGAAGAAACACCUGGUGGAAAACUGUGACAGAGUCUUUGGACUCAUGUGUUCCCCUGAUGGGACUCUGUUGGGCCAAUAGAGCUUCCAGAGAAAGAAAUUUCAGGGUAAGGGUCUCAGGUCCCCAGGAGAGGGGAAGCUGCAGCUCCAAAUAGGAAAAGGCUGCAAAGAUCCAUGUGGAGACAUGGAGAAGAGCCUUGGGGAAGCAUAGAGCUGAGGUGCACUGGAAAAAGUGCAGAGACAAACCCAGAGCAUCCAGGCAGCACUGAGAAGACUGGAGACAGAGGGGCCAUGCAGAGGAGUACAUCAGUGUGAAUGCACCAACAUCAACAAAAUACCUGAUUUCAAAGUGAUGGCAAUAAUGGUGAUAGGAACUUUGAUGUGCUCCAUCUCUGGUGGUUGUCGUAUGGGAAGCAGAGAAGGUAAACAGGUCAAACAGGAAUACAUGGACUAAAGGACCAUGGAGACAAUGACAGUCAUGGACAUAUGAAGAGGUGCCGAUGGCUCCUUAUAGAAGAAGCCUUAAAGGCUGGUGAAAAGGAGGAGAGAUGAUAUCUGCUGAAGCACCCUAGGGCAGCAUAAUUCAAUACGAGUCACAGAGAGCCCCCCUUGUGGAGAGCUGGGGGCAGGAGGGCAGAGAGCAGUCUACCCUGGGAUGCUGGAGGACCUGGCCAAACUAUCACUUUGUGUGACAGGUCAUACGUUCAAAUUAAAACUUAAUAGAAACCAUACAAAAAUGUUCUACAUUUUUCAAGCAACAUCUUUGUGGUGGUUGGCCAUUUUUAUGACUGGGUUGCA